This 440-nucleotide ribosomal RNA is filed under the name uncultured bacterium. RNAcentral describes it as "partial 16S ribosomal RNA". It matches the Rfam family "Bacterial small subunit ribosomal RNA", at positions 338 to 795 of the family's 1533-position model. The record is from RNAcentral.
CCUACGGGUGGCAGCAGUGGGGAAUAUUGCACAAUGGGGGAAACCCUGAUGCAGCGACGCCGCGUGAGUGAUGAAGUAAUUAGUUAUGUUAAGCUCUUUCUGCAGGGAAGUAAAUGACGGUACGUGAGUAAGAAGCCCCGGCUAACUACGUGCCAGCAGCCGCGGUAAUACGUCGGGGGCAAGCGUUAUCCGGAUUUACUGGGGGUAAAGGGAGCGUAGAGGGGAGUGCAAGUCUGGAGUGAAAGGCGGGGGCUCAACCCCCGGACUGCUAUGGAAACUGUACGGCUGGAGUGCAGGAGAGGUAAGUGGAAUUCGUAGUGUAGCGGUGAAAUGCGUAGAUAUUAGGAAGAACACCAGUUGCGAAGGCAGCUUACUGGACUGUAACUGACGUUGAGGCUCGAAAGCGUGGGUAUCAAACAGGAUUAGAUACCCUGGUAGUC